GCUUUUGUUCGCUUUUUAGCCAAUCCUUUGGAUAAAUAAAAGUGCGGUGGCGACUCGAUUUCUUUGUAUGCUUUGCUUAUGGUUUAAUCAAUAAAUCAUAUAGCGACGAAUACACCGCUACAACUGCAAAUGAACAAUGUUCUUGUUUUUGAAAAUUAAAUAUUUUCUAUAAUAUUUUUCUUAUUUUAGAGUUAUUUUCUGUAAUAUUUUUCUUACCAUUUAUUUGAUUUUUUUUAUUAAAUAUUUUUUAUGAAUUGAUUCAAUAUGAUUAAAG
This 274-nucleotide long non-coding RNA is filed under the name Lathyrus oleraceus (garden pea). RNAcentral's name for it is "Pisum sativum (pea) long non-coding RNA (PSAT_LNC001987)". Lineage: Eukaryota; Viridiplantae; Streptophyta; Magnoliopsida; Fabales; Fabaceae. The record is from RNAcentral.